RNAcentral lists this ribosomal RNA (253 nucleotides) under uncultured bacterium. Its description in RNAcentral is "partial 16S ribosomal RNA". It matches the Rfam family "Bacterial small subunit ribosomal RNA", at positions 524 to 776 of the family's 1533-position model. The record is from RNAcentral.
UACGGGGGGGGCAAGCGUUGUUCGGAAUUACUGGGCGUAAAGGGCGCGUAGGUGGCCUUCUAAGUCGAACGUGAAAUCCCUGGGCUCAACCCAGGAACUGCGUCCGAUACUGGAAGGCUUGAAUCCGGGAGAGGGAUGCGGAAUUCCAGGUGUAGCGGUGAAAUGCGUAGAUAUCAGGAGGAACACCGAUUGCGAAGGCAGCUCGCUGGAACGUUACUGACGCUGAGACGCGAAAGCGUGGGGAGCAAACAGG